Molecule: ribosomal RNA, 133 nt
Filed under: uncultured bacterium
Lineage: Bacteria
Description: partial 16S ribosomal RNA
Source: RNAcentral
AGUUAACGUCAAGACUCAGGGGUAUUAGCCCUAAGCUUUUCUUCACAAUUGAAAGUGCUUUACAACCCGCAGGCCUUCUUCACACACGCGGUAUUGCUGGAUCAGGCUUUCGCCCAUUGUCCAAUAUUCCCCA